Molecule: ribosomal RNA, 254 nt
Filed under: uncultured bacterium
Lineage: Bacteria
Description: partial 16S ribosomal RNA
Rfam family: Archaeal small subunit ribosomal RNA
Source: RNAcentral
CACCGGCGGCUCGAGUGGUAACCGUUAUUAUUGGGUCUAAAGGGUCUGUAGCCGGCCGGAUAAGUCUCUUGAGAAAUCCAGCAGCUCAACUGUUGGGCUUUCAGGAGAUACUGUUCGGCUCGAGGCCGGGAGAGGUGAGAGGUACUCCCAGGGUAGGGGUGAAAUCCUGUAAUCCUAGGGGGACCACCUGUGGCGAAGGCGUCUCACCAGAACGGACCUGACGGCAAGGGACGAAAGCUAGGGGCACGAACCGG